GCCACAUGAAACCCCCUUGUGUGGUAGCCAUUAGAACUUCAGCUUAUACUCACCUGGGGGUGAGUGUGAGUGAAUGAAGUCGCUCAGUCGUGUCCAACUCUUCGCGACCCUGUGGACUGUAGCCACCAGGCUCCUCUGUCCAUGGGAUUCUCCAGGCAAGGAUACUGGAGUGGGUUGCCAUUUCCUUCUCCAGGGAUCUUCCUGACCCAGGGAUCGAACCCAGAUCUCCCGCAGUGCAGGCAGACGCUUUACCAUCAGGGAAGACUACAGGUAUUAUUCACAGGAAAGAAGAAAGGCCAUUCUUUAAAUUAUACUUUUCGUCAAUCCGAAAUAGGCAUAGACUCCGGACGUCUUUGAAAAGAGAGAUACACAGAAUUCUCCUGAAGAAAUAGAAGACUAUGAAGAAGAAAAUGUAUUACGAG
This 422-nucleotide long non-coding RNA is filed under the name Capra hircus (goat). RNAcentral describes it as "lncRNA (ENSCHIG00000007146.1)". The record is from RNAcentral. Lineage: Eukaryota; Metazoa; Chordata; Mammalia; Artiodactyla; Bovidae.